Gallus gallus (chicken) is the source of this 1652-nucleotide long non-coding RNA. Lineage: Eukaryota; Metazoa; Chordata; Aves; Galliformes; Phasianidae. The record is from Ensembl.
GCUGGAGGGGGGGGGGGUACAGCCCUGCCCUCAUUGCCAGGGAGGUCUGCGUUUCACAACGCGAUGCUCCGGUGCACGUAACAGCCAGGGAAGGUCUGGGGUGUUUCACAACGUUGGGGGACCAUCCGCUCGGUUGCAGAAUUUGGUAGCGAUUUCAGGAAACGGAGCUUUGGCCAUUGUAAAAUCCUGAGGUGGGGUGGGGAGAGGAUGGGCUGAGGGUACGGUGUGGGCUGGGGGGCUCAGGGUUAGGGUUAGGGGCUCAGGGGUAGGGUUAGGGGCUCAGGGGUAGGGUUAGGGGCUCAGGGGUAGGGUUAGGGGCUCAGGGGUAGGGUUAGGGCCAGUGGGUUCAGGGUCAGGGUUUGGGUCAAGGUUAGGGUUAGGGACUUGGGGUUAGGGUUAGGGCCAGGGAGUUCAGGGUUAGGGUCAAGGUUAGGGUUAGGGCCAGGGGGCUCAGGGUUAGCAUUAGGGUUAGGUCCAGGAGGUUCAGGAUCAGGGUUAGGGUCAAGGUUAGGGUUACGGGGCUCAGGGUUAGGGCCAGGGGGUUCAGGGUUAAGGUUAAGGUUAGGGUUAGGGUUGGGGCUGAGGGGCUCAGGGUUAGAGUUAAGGCUCGGAUUACUGUUAGGGUUAGGGUUGGGGCUGGAGAGCUCAGGAUUAUGGUUAAGGUUAGGAUUACUGUUAGGGUUUGGGCUAAGGUUAGGGUUAGGAUUAGGAUUAGGGCCAGGGGGCUCAGGGUUAGGGUUAAGGUUAAGGUUAGGGCCAGGGGGCUCAGGAUUAGGGCUAAGGUUAGGGUUAGGGCCAGGGGGCUCAGGGUUAGGGUUAAGGUUAGGAUUAGGGCCAGGGGGCUCAGGGUUAGGGUUAAGGUUAGGGUUAGGGCCAGGGGGCUCAGGGUUAGGGUUAAGGUUAGGGUUAGGGCCAGGGGGCUCAGGGUUAGGGUUAAGGUUAGGAUUAGGGUUUGGACCAAGGGGCUCAGGGCAGCAGCUGGAUGCUCGGCUGUGCCCACCAGGCAGCAGCAAUGAUCCCCCCAAGCAUCUUCUGUCAUUCAGUCACUCAAUGCAGCCCUUAGCAUGAGCCCAGGUACCACUCUGGGGUCUCAGGGAUGUGAUGGCACAUCAUCCCAUCGGGCUCAGCAGGUCUCUCUGUGCAGCAGAGCCUCCCAGCCCGGUCGCACCCAUGCACUGUGCUAUGGUGAGCUGCAAUCCCAGCCCUGAGGCUGCAGCGUUGGGCAAGCAUUGCUGUGGGGCAGGGAGUGGGAGAGGGCAGUGAAUAGCACAGAGGAUCUGGUUCAGGGCAAGCAGGACCAAUAGUGACUGCAGGAGCUGAGCCCUGGUCAGGCAACCCAUGAUUGGUAGUGUUUGCUCAAGUGCUUUCCAAAUACAUUUACGAGCAGAAGAGAAGGGCUUGCAGUCAGCAGAGGACAAGGUGGGGUUCGUGCUGCUGCGUUUCGUGGAAGGUUUAGCACGAGAUUGGGAAGGAAGUAGGUCCUGGUUGCUAGAUGUGGUUUUAGGGUGGUGAAAUCAGGGGGAUGCACUGAGCAAGGCAGAUCUUUAAGGACCCUUCCAACUCAGGACGUUCUACAGACCCUGAGCAGGAAGGGGUCUGCAGUGGGGGCCGGGUCUGUCUGAGAUGCCCACAGCUGCAGCUGCUCAUUGCUG